CGUGGGGGCGCUACCAUGCAGUCGCACGAGAAGGGCUUCGGCCCCGGUAAAGUGGCGCACGGGUGCGUAACACGUAGGCAAUCUUCCCUUGAGCGGGGGAUAACACUUCGAAAGGGGUGCUAAUACCGGAUAAGCCCACGAGCUCUUUGGAGCAUGCGGGAAAAGGGGGGGACCUUCGGGCCUUCUGCCAUCAGAUGAGUCUGCGUACCAUUAGCUAGUUGGUAGGGUAAAGGCCUACCAAGGCGACGAUGGUUAGCUGGUCUGAGAGGAUGAUCAGCCACACUGGAACUGAGACACGGUCCAGACUCCUACGGGAGGCAGCAGUGGGGAAUUUUGCGCAAUGGGGGAAACCCUGACGCAGCAACGCCGCGUGAGUGAUGAAGGCCCUUGGGUCGUAAAGCUCUGACAGAGGGAAAGAAAUGUGGGUGGCUAAUAUCCAUACCACUUGACGGUACCCUCAAAGGAAGCACCGGCUAACUCCGUGCCAGCAGCCGCGGUAAUACGGGGGGUGCAAGCGUUGUUCGGAUUUAUUGGGCGUAAAGCGCGUGUAGGCGGUUUUAUAAGUCUGAUGUGAAGGCCCCGGGCUCAACCUGGGAAGUGCAUUGGAUACUGUAAGACUUGAAUACGGGAGAGGGCAGUGGAAUUCCUGGUGUAGGAGUGAAAUCCGUAGAUAUCAGGAGGAACACCGGUGGCGAAGGCGGCUGCCUGGACCGAUAUUGACGCUGAGACGCGAAAGCGUGGGUAGCAAACAGGAUUAGAUACCCUGGUAGUCCACGCCGUAAACGAUGAGUACUAGGUGUUGCGGGUAUUGACCCCUGCAGUGCCGCAGCUAACGCAUUAAGUACUCCGCCUGGGAAGUACGGUCGCAAGACUAAAACUCAAAGGAAUUGACGG
RNAcentral lists this ribosomal RNA (894 nucleotides) under uncultured delta proteobacterium. RNAcentral describes it as "bacterial SSU rRNA". It matches the Rfam family "Bacterial small subunit ribosomal RNA", at positions 38 to 916 of the family's 1533-position model. The record is from RNAcentral. Lineage: Bacteria; Deltaproteobacteria.